RNAcentral lists this long non-coding RNA (435 nucleotides) under Carassius auratus (goldfish). RNAcentral's name for it is "lncRNA (ENSCARG00000011287.1)". The record is from RNAcentral. Lineage: Eukaryota; Metazoa; Chordata; Actinopteri; Cypriniformes; Cyprinidae.
GUCAGAUAAUCAUGUGUAUUUAAGAGGACAUUGCUUCUCACCUGCAGUCAACACAAAACUCAGCCUUACCCAUGACUUUGAGUUCAGAACUGAGCAGUUCUUACUGGUAGGAUUGGUUGUUUUGAACAUUUGACAUCACUGCAUUUAAUCUGUUGAGUUAAAUGUCUUCAUUAGCAACUCUUUUAUUCCUUUUCUGUAUUUGGCGUUGAUAUUCAGCCUGUUGCUCCAGCUGUUACAACAGGUCAAUGAAUGUGACACCAAAAUGCAAGUUCUCCACAUUAUUUCCUGUGCCAUGGAGAGAGUCAGCAUCCAGGACACUACUUGUUGUCUUUGCACACUGAAAAACACAUAUUGAUGUCAUAUCAUUACCAGACGAUGCUGACUGAGCACAAGGCCACGACCUGCUUUGAAAAUAACCUUUAGCUAUUGCGUGAG